UUCAUCAAGACAAUAGAGAGGCACCGUGGUGAAGAUUUCUGGAGAGUUCAACAUAUCACAACAAUCACCCGUAUCUACGAGAGCCAGGGGAGACGGGUCUCUGAAACUCUUCUGUAAUUAGAGGGGUUAACUACGGAGAGGAUACAGUUUCCGGAAAAUUAUAAUCUCUGUCAAGUUCCUCAGGUCUGUACAGACGUUUCAUCAUGUAAUGCUGAGCCUCAGAAAACAGAAAACUGCUGCUCUUCCCUCCUCUUCUCUGCUUCUUUGUCUCUGUUUUGCUGUUGUUGAAUCUUCCAACCUGCUAUCUUGCCCAUGUUUGUCACCAGUAAAUUCUUGACACCGUCAAUUUCUAGACAUCAAUACGAGUAUAUUUGGGAUGUGUCAAAUGUUUAUUUUGACAACUUGAGUUCGUUUUGCAAGUUCACAUCAACUUUUUUUAUGCUGGUUUUGUUUUAUUCGUUUUGUAGUAAUUUAUUUAUAUUUUUUAAUUUAAAAAAAAAUGAUGAGAAAAAAUAAAAAUAACUAAAGAUUCAAAAAGAAAAAAAAUAGAGCUAGAGUUGUGAUCUUGGUCCAAGUGUGAUAAGAUUUUUCAAAAGAUAUGUAGAUGUGAAAGAGAGACGCAAUAUUGCCUCUUGGACCAGGUGAUGGUAUACAAGUAGACCUUCAUGAAUAAAUGUCUGUACAAUUAACUAUUAAAAAAGAAAAAAGGUUCCAAACUACUUUUAAGAUCAUUGUUUAUUGGAUCAGUACUUUGAAAUCCUAAACUCGUUUUGUUAUUAGAACAAAAGGGUAAACCCACCUUUUGACUUUGUAACGUAGAAGCAGAGUAUCCAACUUUGAGCCAUGAAGACAAUCUGAGGCGAAUUAAGUGAUGUAAUUCGCUACAAAAAUUAAAUUGGAAUUUGCUCAAAGUUCUUAUCAAGUUCAACAGUAAUCUGACAAAAAUACUAAUUGAAAACAGAAACAUUACAAGCAUGAAAUCUCAAAUGACAAGGGUUUUUGUAACGAGUUUAAGGCAAGAAGGCUAAAAUUGUCUCCUGAAGCUCAAAACUAUUUAUUUUAUUUUUUCUUCUUUUUUCAAGCCAUUGAUAGUGUUUUGUUUUAUUUUUCCCCUUCAUUCUUGGCAUGCUCUGUAUACGUCAUCUCUGCCCUAAAUUUCUCCAUUCUAACACAUCCAUAGUUUAAUAAAUGCAUUUUCUUCCUUUUAUAUAUAUAUAGAAACUGUCUGACACAUGCAUGUAGAUAUCUUAUUGGUUUGGUUUUGCAAUUUACACAUUCUAAUUUAUAAAACCAGGAGUAAAUCACAUAUAUCAGAUAUUUUUUUCUUGCCCCAAAUUGAUUUUGAUGGGAUAGAGAUUGAAGAAGUAGAUAAUGUUGAGUGCUUAUUUGUUUUAUUGUUUUUCUCUCAAACAAAUUUGUUGUUUUGAUUUAUAGUUUUGAAAAUGUUAUGUUUUGUUUUAGAUUUUGUAAAAUUAUAUUUGUUUAUAAAUUGUUGAAACUUAUGUCGAAUUACUGACUUAGGUGUUUUGUGAUGAAAUAAAUAAUAGCUUGUUUAACAUGUCAGUUUUAUAUUUUGUCAAUUUUAUUGUCGAUUUGUAAUUUUUAUAAAUUAAUAUGUAUAAAUUUAUAUGUAUAUAGAUAAUUGAUAAUGAAUAUUUAAGAGAAGUUUGAAAGUAAGGUGGAUAAUCUUGAGCUAAACCAAUAUUUUUUUUGCAAAUUUAUUUAUUUAAUGUAGUCAAUUAAUACAUAUUGUCAUCAUUAUUUGAUAUAGGUUCCACAACAUACUGAAGAUUUAUAUAAUCAUUAAUUUUAGAGCUUAUAAAAUUAAUCGAGAUACGUACAAGUUAACCCGAAUAUCCACACUAAUUUUCAGUAUACUACUUAUCUACUAUUUCUCAUUUUACAAUCAGCAGAUGAGAGAGAAUGAGAAUGCUAAAAAUGAAGAUUUAUUUCCAACUCUAAAUAUUUAUUUUUGAAAUAUUAGCUUAGGUCUCACGACUUUAAUAAGUUGAUUAUUAAAAUCCAAAAGCAUGCUAAGACAUAUUUUUUUUUUAAUUUUUGUUUUGUAUAAAAAUAUGAUAUAAAAAUUUUAUAUUUUUGAGAUAUUUGACCGUAUACAUAAAAAUAAAAAAAUUUAUUUGAAUACAUAAAUUUGUAAUAAAUAUUUGGUUUUUAUAUUAAAAUAAUUUUUUUUACAUGAAUUUUAUACAAAUUUAGUUUUUUAAUUAUUUUCUAUUCAUUUUCAAUAGAUUUUUUAAAUAUAUAUAUUUUUAAUUAUUACGAACGGAGAUACCGACGGACUCAAUUCAUUAUAUUCCAGAGAGUUGAAAUUUUUUUUACAGCAUAUGCCACUUCAACUAUUAUAUUACCAAUGAAAUUAUUCUGUUUGUAUUUUAUAGAGGGUUGGAAUAAAAUUACUCUAAAUACCAUUAUCAAUCACCAAUGAAAUAAUUCUAUCGAUAUAUUCUAGCUGACAAUUUUUUUUUGACAUGUAUUAUUUGCCAGUAAAACCAUCAAGUUUUUUUACCGGAAGAUAUUCCAACAAAAAAAUAAAUUACUGACUAGCAGUUUUUCAAUAGAUAGUUUAUGUAUAUGAAUCAGUUAAUAAAAUAUUUGCUGAUGGAAUAAUAAAAUAAAUACCGACAAAAUAUUUCAUCAUAAAUAUGUUAAAUGGAGCGCUAGUGUAUUUGCAUGAUUUAUAAUUAGACAGACUGCCCUUUUAAAUGACAAAUACACCACAGGUCAAAUCAUCAUCAUGUUGUACUGCUACAAUUCUGAGCUGCGCGCAGACACAGGCAACUGCUGCUCUCCCCUCCUCUUCUUUGCGCCUCCCUCUCUUUUGCUGUUGUUAAAUCUUCCAACCUGCUCUCAAUUUUUUAGACAUCAAUUCGAGUAUAUUUUUGAUAUAUCAAAUGUUUAUUUUGUAUUUUAUUAAAUUUUCACAACUUGAGUUUGUUUUGCAAGUCCACAUCAACUUUUUUAUGCAGAAUUUUUGUUUUUUUGGUUCUGUCCUUUAUUUAUAUUUUUUAAUUUCAGAAAAAAUAGAUGGAAAAAAAAUGACUAAAGAUUCUAAAAGAAAGAAAUAGAACUACGAACUAGCAAAACAAGCAAUUCAAAAUAAGUUUCCAUCUUAAUACAAGUGCGGUGAAAUUUCUCAAAACAUAUGUAGAUGUGGAUGAGAUAUGCAAUGUUCCCUCUUAAACUAAGGAAUAACUGGUGGUCGAAUCAAUCUAUCUGUGUGCUAAUUUUACGAAUUAAGAAGAAACAGUAAAUAUAUGCACUGAUAACAACAGGGGCUUCAGAGGCAGCUGCCCAUCCAAAAAUACCAAACAGUGCGCAAAAUCAUACCAAAUUACACUGUUAAACGAAUAUGGUGCCUGCAUGAUUUUAAAACUGACUACCUCUUCCAUGGAAAAUAUACGAAGAGAUUGAAUCGUGGUCAAUAUUACUCUUCAUUAAGUCAAAGCUCAUACGAUAUCACAUGCAAUCAACCAUGAGUAACAUGUGCACAAGCAUAAUAAUAGCAGACCAAAUGUAGAGCUCCAUUCACUAGACAACAUGAUUAGAGCUGUUUUUAUUAUUAUUAUUAUUAUUGUAUAUAAAUAUUUGUAAUUGAUUUUGACAGUUAAAUUAAUAACAUAAAAUAUUUUUUAAUUUAAUUUAGUUGUUUAAUUUCAAAUUAUUUGAUUCAAAUAAGCACAAAUCACUAAAACACCAUUGAAUUACCAAUAGAUAUAAAAAAUUUGUUAAGGAAUUUAUGGAUAAUAUAGAUUCAUUUUCCUAAGAUAAUUAUAAAGAGUUGUGAUAUGUUUUGAUAUAGAACAACAUAUUCACCAAUAUAUUUUUAUGUCAAUGAUUUUGUUGAGGACCUCACUAGUUCUACACAAUAUAUUAUCGAUGAUUAUUCCAUCAGCAAACCAUUGGUUAUAUUUACUGACAAAUUAGCUAGCAGAAUAAUUGUCGGCAACUUUUUUUUUUUGCACCUAUAUUUUAUUGAUAUUUUUGUUAGUAUUUAAAUUAUUGAUUAAAUUACCAAUAAAUCUAAAAUCCCCAAUAAGACACUCUCCAACAACAUAUUUAUAUCCAAACACCCAUCAAUGAUUUUUAUAGUGAUGAAAAUACAACUUUUAGAAUUGUCAUAACCCAUUUUUUUGGUUAUUCCCCAUUUCACAUUUUUAAAUAAUAAAAUACAAAAAAUAUUAUCAAAAAAAAUAUAACAGUGAAAAAGGGAUGCCAGAGCGCCCUAAAAAUAAUCAAAAAUUGGUUGAGGAGGUUAAAAAAUAUAAAUAUUAAAAUUUGACAGUGUUUUAUUGACUGAUGAUAGUCCUAUUGACAAAGAAAAUUCAAUUUGAGGAAGAAAUGUCUAAAAUCAGAUGUUUAUGGACUCAAUUAAAUUUUAAUGAAGGUUUAAUUGAAUUUAAGGAGGGUUUAAUUGCAAGAAAAAUGGGUUUUAGAGUUAAUUUGGGCUUUAAUUAGAAGAAAUUAAAGUUCUAGGGUGAAAUUAUAAUUUUUGCAAGUUAAUUUGGUCAAAUCAGAGACUUAAUUGCAUAAAUAUUGAAGUUUGCUGGCCAAUUAGGGACUUAAUUGAAGAAAUCCAAAACCAAGGACCAAAAUGGAAAAAGGCGCAUAAAUAGAGGGGCUGGAAUUGAAACCGGUCAGGGGCCCAAUUGAAGAAAUUAGAAGUUUAUUGAUCAAUUGAGGGUCAAAUUGCAUAAUUUCAAAACCAAGGACCAAAGUGAAAAAGGCAGCCAAUUUCAAGGCUGCUGUUGAAUUUUUGGCAGGGAUGCAAUUGCAUUAAGUUUAAAUUAAAAUUGCAAUUUAAGACUUGAUUGAGCAAAUUACAAAUUGAGGACCAAAGUGAAAAGUGACACGUUUUUGCUGCAUUUUCAUUUAAAUGAAACGACGCGUUUUGACCAAAACAACGCCGUUUCAUGCACUGUUCACAAAAAAAACCCUAAACUGUGCUGUUUUGAACGGCACCAUCAUCUGCUUCCCCUGGACACGCAGAGAACAGGGGACGAAGAUUUUCUUUUCUCCUUUGUUUGUCACCGACUUCCCUCCCCCCGAUGACUUUAAAAAGACGCUGACACAACCCACUUCCAACGUGUUGAAGGGGUGGUGGAGGGGAGGUAGCGCGGUGGCCGCCCUAGCCACGUCUCCCUCCCCUGUUUUUGCUUAUAAAAACAGGGGAAGGGGAAGGAAAAAAAGGAGAACAGAACGAGAGAGGAGAGGGAUAGAGGGACGAGAGAAGUGAACAGCGGGACGAGAGAAGAGAGAGGACUGAAAGAAAAAGAAAAAUAGAAGAAGAAGAAGAGAGGAGAACAAAAAACAGAGGAGAAAGAGAGAGAGAGAGAAAAAAUAGAACCACUACGAACCACCAGCACCAGCGCCACCGCCUGUCGCCUCCAGCAGCAUAGCCACUGGUUGCAGCCACCGCAGGUCAGCCCAUCUCCCCUUCCUUUUCUUAUCUUGCUUCAUCUCGUCACCCUAGCCUCCACUGUUCAUGUAGCAUGUGAACAGUGGAGGGCACUGUUCACACAAGCUGGGCUCAGCAUUUGGGCCAAGUUCGGGCCAGCCCAUGUAUUUAGGUCUGACCCAGCCCAUUUAAAAAAAAAAAUUCAAAUGCGUGUUUUAGAAUCUUACAAAUUUUCCCGUGUAUUUUUCUAUGCCAUUUUUAUUAAUAUCGGGUAGUAUUUUACAUGGUAAAAAUACAAAUCUGAUAUUAAAAUACCCGGUUGUCGUCAAAACUUCCAAAAAUACAAAAAUAAAAAAUAAAAAUAUUUUUGUGUAUACGACCAAGUGUCUUAAACCUAAAAAAUCUUAUUGUGUUUUCCAUACACCCAAAAACAAUGUUUUAGCAUGUAUUUUGGCUUUAAUAACCAGUUUAUUAAAGUCAAGAGAACAUUGACCAAAAUUUCAAAAACAACAAAAAUUUUAUUUUGUUUAUCUGUUAUUAUCCAAGGUAUGACAUUACAAGUAAUGUUUAAUCUGGAUAUUUAAUUUUUUUUUGGACAAUAGAACGGUUAGGUUUUACCGUAUUAAGAUAAAAACCUCCUUCUGAAUGAAGGCUUGUCUUGAACCUUAGACAGACCAACAAUUAGAAAUCACAACACAACUUUAGGUUUUAUCAGACAACAAAACAAUGCAGCCUACCUUAGGUAAGGCGUAGUUGGGGUGCUAAUACCUUUCCUUUACGCAACCGGUCUCCGUACCCAAUCUCUGAGACCAGUUAGGGUUCCUAGUGAUCAAAAUACUAGGUGACCAGUGGCGGAGCCAGAGUUUUUUAAAUGAGGGGACAAAUUAUUAACAAAUAUUAUAUUAUAUAGCUUUGAUUGACUCUUCAUCUUCAAGAGAUUUAUGCUUGAAAUACUUGUCUAGUGACAUGUUAAUUUAAUAUGAACCUGCUGGAUUUUUUUGUAUCAUCAUUAGUGUCUACAUAAUAAUUAACAUAACUACACAAUAAUUCACUGUUAAACAAAAAUCAGUUGAGUUACACAAUAAUUCUAAAUCUUCCAUAUGAAAUUAAUAGCAAAAUACACGUCAAUUCAUCAAAAUCAAAACCUAUUUCAAUUCAUAUUUAUAUGCAUAUAAUAAGUAUGUUGAUUAAAUUAUACUUAAUCAUUUCUAGACAUUUAAUUAAGAAAUAAUGCCUAGUGUAUGUGUAAGAGGAACAAUGCUUGAAAAACAUGCUUUCUACUUGAUAUUUUACUUACAAACAAAUCAUGUGAAAAUAUUAAAUUUCAAUAAACUACUCUGUCAAUGCAAGAGAUGUCAAGAAUAGUGGUUUUGCAUGAAUAUUAAUUUAUUUUUUUAUAAUAAAAAAGAAACACUUAAUUGAUUAAAUUAGUAGAUUUAAAUAUUUAUUUUGAACAUAUUCAUAUUAAAACCCCUAAAGUAUCAUAAAUCCUAAUAUUUUUAAUAACUAAUUAUAAAAAAAUAAAACUAAAAUUAGACAAUAAAACAAAUAGAAAAGAUAAUAAAUAAUUUACUUAAUAUAUAAAGCAAAACACAAAAAAGAUUAAUUGAUAAGAAAUUUGCAUAUAGGAUUGGCGAGGCAGGGAACGACAGCUGAACAAAAAAACCCUCUUUAUUAGACAAUGAAAGAUAAAGAAAAAAAAAGGGGGAAAGGGGAAAAAUUGGGGCAGCUGUGUGUGUGUAUAUAUAUAUUAUAUUAUAUUAACAUAUGUCAAGUCAGUUAACAAUAAUAAACAAUAAAAACCUUCCUUCAGCAAUAAUUCAUUAAACUAAUAUAUUAAUAUUUUAAUAAAUAAAAAAAAUAAGGGGGCAAUUGCCCCCUUUUGACCUACUGUGGCUCCGCCACCAUAGAUGACGACUCCCAUUCUAAUUUUUUACUGAUAAAAAACAAGAAUUCCUUGGCCCUCCACAUGUGCCAGAUAGACCACAUUUUUAUUUUUUCUUGAGAGGGUGGACGAUCGCCGCGACGAUGCAUUUUCACAUGCGACAAGAAUGAUGGAAUAUUUUUUUCCAUGUAAAUCAAUUUUCUAGUUGUGAUUUUAGCUUAAAAAAAGAGAGAGAAACUGGUUAUGUAAAUUCAUUGGAGGUCACAUAGGCAACAUCUUAGAUUUGGAAUAAGCAGCAAGAUAUUUCACCAAAUAAGAAUUCUUGUGUGAUUUUGAAUAGGAAUAUGUUGUUCCAGCAAUGCCAAUCUGAAAAAAUUUCAGUUAUACAAUUUUGGGAAUUUUAGUUUCAUGCAUAAUCUGCAUAUCUCUUAUUUAUUUAAAGCAAGUACUAAAAUUUACUCUGGAUUUUAAUUCCAUGACACAAAACAGGUAAAUAUUUGAAUUUCAAUUCCAUUUUAACAAUUGAUAUUACGAGCACCAUACAGAAGAUGACGAGCAAGAAAAUUGACCGGAUCAUGCAUGGAUUUUAAAAACGCAUUUCAUGAUCAAAAGGACUCUAAAGAUGCUGCUCACAUAUGUGAAAUGUUGACACGUGUCUAUAUAGGUUGAAGGUUAAUAAUAGGCUAAAAUUGAUGUAUCCAAUUUUUUUGAAUAAUUUGUCAAAGUGAAUUUCAUUCCACUAGUUAUUGAAUGAAUUAUUUGAUUUAUUCAAUCCAUCUCUAAAUUUAAAUUAGCAAUAAUCAUGUCGCGUGACACUUGUAACUCCACCUUCAAAAAACUCAUGCGUAAAUCAUAAUACAUGUCAAACAAUAAUUAAUCAAUAUUAAUUUAAAUUAAUAUAUAAACCAAAUUAAAUAUAACAAUUUGUUCAUACACCAUAAGCAUAGAAUCUUUUGCCAAAAGAUAAUGGUAAUUAGACCAUUAGUCUUGGGGUUGGUUACAAUUUAGCCCUUAUAGUUAUUCCUAAAAUAUUUUAUAUUAGCUUUGCCUUACCUCCUAUCCAUAUCCUCUAACUCUUUUAACAAAUGCAUGUGGGAAAAGAAAACUUCACCACCUAAACCCUCCGGCGGCUCAGAUGUUAAAAAAUCGCAUUAUCUAUUUUGUAGGUCACAUAUCCCUAUCCAUUACCCACGUACCACCCACUAAUUAAUCAUUACCAACGGAAUCUCUUUAUACUACCACUAAUCACUGCUACAAUUCAUUACACACACACACACCUGUGCUUAGCUAUGGCUUUAAUCUUAGCGAUAUAAUGUCCGUAUGCAGUCGCCGACGGAAUCUCCUUGUAUUACCAAUUGAGUGUGAGUGGAAGGGAGAAUCUGACAGAGAGUUCUGGUGUCUUUAUUGUGAGAUUUAGAAUCAGAAUCAACUUAAUGUUGAUCAAAUUAUUCUUGGAGGCUAAUUUAACCAUUUAAGUUUUUGAAAUCAAUUUGUGAAUAUUUGUUCAUCGGAGGAGCUUAUGAUAACAUAUCAGAAAUUAUCUCAAUUCAAAAAACAAAGUUAUAAGAUGAGAUUUUAAGAAUUGUUGUACACACUAUUAUACUAUUACGAUUGAAUUUGAUAAUUAAUUACGUUUUGGCUGCAUUCAAAAGAUUGAAAUUUUGUGAUGAGUGGAUGAACUAGCGAAUGGACUAAAUAAAUUAAACAAUUUAUUCAAGGAUAAUGACUUCAACUUUUUAUUCAUACACUAAUGACACUUUAACCAAUAGGUUACGGGCUUGGAUACAGUUUACUCUACUAUUAUUAUUCCUAAAAUAUUUUAUAUAUAUUAACUUUGCCAUAGCACAUGUACAUGCGAUAAAGUCAUAUAUUCUCCUUUUUUUUUUAAACCCACUAAUCAAAUGGGAAAAGAAAAUAAAUAAAUUCACCGCCUAAACACUCUGGUGGCUCAUAUUUUUAUUCUUUUAAUAAUUUAAUUUUAAAUCGACAGAAACCUUGUUAAUUAAAUAAUAGUAUUGAUUUGUUAAUUAAAAAAUUCCACCAACUAAACACUCUGGCGGCUCAGAUAUUAAAAAAUUCCAUUACCUACUUCGUCGUUCACAUGCACAAUUCGUUGCCAACACUAAUCAUUGAUACAAUUGAUUAUAAUUAUUAUUUUUUUUAAUGUAAAGAUAUUUAGACUAGCUUGUAUAUAUUUUAAUUAAUUUUUAUAAAUUUUAAAAUUAACAACAAGAUAAGACUCCAAUAAUUGUUAAUAUUAGCAACCAUAAAGAAAAUAAAUUUCUUAAUUUCAAGCUCUAAUCACUAAACCACAUACUAAAUGAUUAUAAAUAAUUUUUUUUCUUACAAUUGAUUAUAAAUUACAAGAUAUAUAAGUAAUACCUAAUGAAACCUAAAUUUAAGUUAUUAAAUAAUACCUAAUGAAAAAAUAUUUUUGAACUUAAAACUUCCGGAACUUGUUACAUAUAUUGUGCUGAUAUUUUUUAAAUUUAUUUAAAAUAUGAUUUCAUAUAGAAAAAUCAUUUCACCUAAAAAAAAAAAACAUAAACUGUCGAUCAAACUCCAACUUUAAUUUUAUAUUGAUUCACUAACAACCCAAAACUUGGUGGUUAGGCAUCUAUUGGACUAGCUAGAAAAUUUUAUGCGAGCAUAUUAAAUUUCUCAAUAAUCAAAGCUGGAGUUAACCUAACUAGCUAGUUACUUGAAGAUUAAAGAAAGAAACAACGUCGAGAGCAAAGAAAAGAGUACUAUAUAUAUGACAUCGAGUCGAAGAGCUAAAUAUAAACAAAUCGAAAAGAGUGAGAGUGAGAGAGGCUGCAUACAGCAUCUCAGUAUUGCUUCUAGGAAAGUGGCUCUGCUUGCUGCUUGAAGCAAACAAUUGCCCUUCUCCAGUACAGGCCAAGGUGCGUGCUCUGGUUUGCUUAAUUUGCUCAUUAAUUAGUUUUGUUUUCUCUCCAUAAUAUUUGAUGCACUAAGACGAACGGUUCAAGGGGAAUGUCAUGAAUGUAGCCUCUCACUCUGAAACUCUAGUUCUUAUUUCUUUUGGCUCUUAAUUAGUAAGUUUACAAGUGCAACACUUGAAACGAACUUUCACCUUUCCUCUGCUUUGAAAGGAAAAUUGUUGUUAAAGAUACCUCAUUUAUAGAAGUCUCAAAUGAACCUCACUGAAAAAAUCACCAUGAGAAAGCUGAGGAUAGUAGCUCCUGCAGGUUAAGGAGGAUGCUCCUUUUUUCACGUACUAAUUAAUUAGUUUUUAGAACUAGACACGCUAUUCAAUUCAUUUUAUUUAUAGGGAUUAAUUUAUAAUUUAUUCAUUUUGAGAACAAGACUAGAAGUCAGACUCUUGAGAAGCAAAUAUUAAUGGCAAAUGUUACUAUUGUCUUUGAUUACAGAAGCAAAAACUUCAAACGCAUAACUUUUUUAUAUAUAUUUUUAGUUAAUUCUUUAAUUAUGAAAAUAAUCUUAAUUUUUGAGAAAGUGUUUUUAUUGGUAAAUAGUGAUUCGUUUAUCUAUCAUCUACGCAGCAAAUUGCAAUAGAUGGGAGAAAUUCGCUCACCAUAUUUUUCACUUGGCCAAAAUUACUUCGGAGAUAAUUCUGAUCAUAUUCAUUCACCGUACAUUUCAUAUGGCGGAGAGGACUAUCAUGAAGACUAUGCCGAAAUUCAUCCACCAUAUUCUUCAGCCGGAGACUACCGUGGAGAUAAUGCUGAGAUUCAUUCACCAUAUUCUUCAGCCGGAGACUACCUUGCAGAUAACACUGAAAUUCAUUCUGAAGCAUUGUUUCAUCAAGAUAUUUCUGGAAAUUCAUACAAUGCACAACAAUUUGUUAAGCAUGGAAAAGCAACCCGUCGUGUUGGAGGAGCUUGGAAUGAUGAACAAGAGAGUGAUGUGUGCAUCUACACAGUUGGCGAGGCACUUCGCAAAUCAAAUGAAGCCAUGUACUGUCCUCAAGUAAUUUCUAUAGGCCCUAUUCACAACGGCAACAGAAAUCUGCGUUUCAUGGAAAGGAAAAAGUCUGCAUUCUAUAAACAGUUCUGGGAAGACAGGGUGUCAAAGGCAGGGGAACUGCAUGGGACUGAGGACAAGUUCUGGGAUGCCCUCGUAAAAGAUGAAAAAAAGAUCCGCCAAUGUUAUGAAGAUGAUUCCCAUAAAAUUGAAAAUACUGAAGACUUUCUGGAUCUGAUUCUGUACGAUGCUGUAUUCAUCUUCGAGCUAUUCCUCAAGUACAGUGGAGAGGAAGAGGAGUUUAGAAAAGAUUCUAUAUUGAAAGAACGAGGGUUGAGGGCGGAGAUUCGACGGGACUUGAUUUUGCUUGAAAAUCAGCUUCCAUUCUUUAUUCUUGAGAAAUUAUAUACAAUUCUUCCAGAUAACAUUAAACGAGGAAAGACGGAAUUUAAAACUCUUGCUUGUUUCUAUUUUCAACGCCACAUUCGAAGUGAAUUCUCUCCUUCAGCAACAACGCCAUUACAUUUCACUGAUUUGGUAAGAUCUUUACUAUCCUUCACUCGAAAUGGCAAGCCUGUGGAUCAAAUCAAAAGCUUUCACAGUGCAACCAGGCUCCGCCAAGCAGGAGUUAAGUUUAAGGUUAAGCUAACAUAUGACUACUUACUUGGUGUGGAUUUCCAUAGAUUGAGAAAAGAGUUUCACAUACCACAGCUUCAGAUACACGGCGACACUGAAAGUGUCUUCAGAAACCUUAUGGCCUUGGAGAAGCGUCUUUAUCCAGGACAAGAGUACAUCUGCCAUUACAUCAACCUAUUGAGUAUUCUUGUUGUCAAACCUAAAGACGCGAAACUCCUAAUGGAAAAUAAGAUUGUAAGUUAUUACAAAGACGAAGAUGCAGUGAGGGACCUGAUUUACAGUCUUGCAUCAAGCACGACUGAUCUCCAUUCCUGUUAUCACGACAUCUUUUCGGCGGUGGAUGAUUAUUAUAAAAGCUCCUGGGCCAAAAACCCCGCAUACUUUAUAGAGGAGUUUUUCGGGAAUUUUUGGAAAGGUGUUGGAACGGUUUGUGCAGCUAUCCUCCUCAUCCUCACUUUGGUACAAACAAUUUGUGCGAUCCUUGGCCUGCGCUAGUACUCCAAGCGUGGAUCAAGUCAAUCCGGAGCCUGUGUAGUUUUAUUUCUCCUGUUUGUGGCUUUUGUUGUGUUGUGCUGUGGAUUUUGUGUUUCCUGUGCAGUCAAUAAACACACACACACAUUCUCUCUUUGAUGUUUUUUUUUUUUUUUAAUUCUUAUCACAUGUAACUAUUCUUUAUAUUUUAUUUUGGAUUGCUCAUAAUUUGCGUUUAAUAUUAUAGAACAUAGUAUUUUUUACUUUAAAAUAUAUUAAUUUAAUAUUUUUUUAAGGAAAAUACAUAAAUUACCAUAUUUCUAAACACUCACAUAACUUAUCUCUAAGUGUGCGAGGGUGAUAAGAAUAGACAUCAACAAAAUGACACAAGCAUGACUUGUUAAUAUAAUAUUUCCUUCCUUUGGUUUUCAAGCUAUGCAUAUCAAUGUCACUUUCUUGGGCUGAAGGUUGACCAAACCAAGCUGUGGACACAUAGUUUAGGAAAUAAUAAAUAAACUUGAAAUAAAUAAAAUAUAAUUUUGAUUGAUAUGUAAGCUAGUUUAAAAAUAUACUCUACUAUCCAAUAAAAAAAUAUAUUUACACGAGUAUAAGAAACUUAUGAGAGUAUUUUAUUAACAUAAAAAGAGAAAAAAAAGUGGUGAUCAAUAUUAAUAAAUCAAACGAAAGAAAAUUGGGGUCAACACAUUGAUCUCGUUUUUACCACACAUUGUUAAGUCAUUAACAAUAUUAAAAUAGUUUGAAUAUUAAAUUUAGUUUUGAUUGAUGUAGAAAUUAAUUUAAAAUUAUGUUUCAUUAUCGGAUUAAAAAAAAAUUUACAAGAGUAUUUUAUUAAGAUAAAAUAAGAAAUUGUUUUUACUGGUUAUUAAUGUUAAGCGUCCACCGAUUGAUCUUAAUUUUUACCCUAACAUCGUUAAGUCUCUAACGCUGUCAACUCACCACACUCAUAUUAAAGCACAGGUUGAUAUAUGGAGCCUCCCUCUUUUCCAUUUCCUUGUUCUCUCUCUGGGCAGCUUCUGUGUACUCUGCCUGUCAUAACUCAAUUUUUAACUAUUUUAUUUUAAUUAUUAUUAUUAUUAUUAUUAUUACUACUGAAAAGGAUAAAAAAAAUGAUGAUAAUGAUGAAAAAACAAGUAAAAUGAAAUAAAUGAAGAAUGAAUUAAAAUUUGGGUUAAGGGCAACAUGAUUGAAAGUUUAAAGAUUUAAUUAAAUUUUUAACUUAUUUAAUUAACCAAGUUAAGGGUUUAAUUGGAAAAUUGAUAAGUUUUGAGACUUAAUUGAGCUUGAAAUUAAUUUAAUUAAUCCAAUCAAGGUUUUAAUUGGAGAAUUGAUAAGUUUUGAGACUUAAUUGAGUUUGAAGGUAAUUUAAUUAAUGAAAUCAUGGACUAAAUUGAAAAAAUAUCAAAGUUUGGGGUUUAAUUGAGGUCCAAAUUGAACAAAUUAAAUCCAAGGACCAGCUUGAAAAUGGCGCGGAAAUGCAAGGAUCCAAUUACAUUUUAACCAGGGGCCUGAUUGCAAAAUCACAAACUCUAAAGGACCAAAUUGAAAGAAGCCUUUGGGAUGGGAAACGGAGUCGUUUUGGGAGGCGACUGUUCGCUCGUCUUCUUCCUCUGCAACGGCUCCGCCAUUAAAGGCAGAGACGUUUGUCCAUUGAAUGCAGCGCCCCACGCCAUUACUGCCGACCGUUACAACGCCGAUCAACCUCUGGCCUUAUAAAAGCUGGGCAAAAGGCAACCUCAGGAGGGGGAAUUGGACUGAAACGAAGGAGGAACCCAGCAUAAACAGGGGGGAGAACGGGGGGAAAACUGAGAGGAAGAAAAAGGCAGAGCCAAGGCUGAACAGGGAGAAAAACCGGGAAGAAGAAAAAGCCACGAAGGGCAGGGGGGACCAAGAACAGGGAAGAAGGCAAAGACAGAGUCGAACAAAGAAAAACUGGGGAAGAGAACGAAAAAACCAGGAGAGGCAGAAUAAAAGAAACCCAUAAAACAGAGAUAAAGGAAACAGUAUACAGAGUAAAAACAGAGACAAAAGCAAGCAACAAACCCAGAAUACCAACAUUAACAUCACUGUCUUCUUGAUCGCCUCCUGCAAAUAAAAAAAAAACCCCAGCGUCGCCAUCGUCUUUGUUCCUUCGUCUCAAGAAACCGGGAUAAUAGGCUAGAUAACCAGAAGCAAAGGAAACGCAAAUCACAGAGAGAAGAACGCAAGGAAAGGUGAAAAGGGGGCCCUGUCAAGCGUGGUUCAAUCACACAGAAGCAAUUUUGUCAUCGUCUUCGUCGCCUUCGGCCAACCAAGGUAAGCCGCUUCCUCUGCCUUUCAUUCGGUUUCAACUUAUUAGCAGCAUACUGUGCAAGUGAAUUUUAAUUCACUUGCACAGCGCAGCAACACGCGUGGCUUGUCGCACGCGUGUUGCUUUUGCUCGGCCAGGUCACUGGCUUGGGCCAGUGACCGGGCCGGGCUGGCUGGGUCUAGCCCAGCCCAUGUGGGCUGAGCUGGGCCCAGCCCCAAAAAAUAAUAAAAAUAAUAAAUAGAAAAAAAUAGAAAAAUAGAAAAAUAAAAUAAAUAAAAAAAUAUGUAUGCAUAAAUAAAAAUAAUAUAAAUUUAUUGGUUUAUUCACUGACGCCAGAGUCGGGAAUAAAAAUACCGGUUUAAAUUUAUAUUAUUUUUAUUCAUUGUAUUUUAUUUUGUUUAGCUAGAAAAUAAAAAAUAAAUGUGUAUGCAUAAAUAAAAAUAAUAUAAAUUUAUUGGUUUAUUCACCAACGCCAGAGUUUGAAUUAUUCGUGGUGGAAUUUUUACCAACGCCAUAGUUGGAAUUAUUCAUGUUGGAAUUUUUACCAACACCAGAGUUGGAAUUAUUCGGGGUUGGAAUUUUUACCAACACCAUAGUUGGAAUUAUUCAUGUUGGAAUUUUUACGAACGCCAGAGUUGGAAUUAUUCGGGGUUGGAAUUUUUACCAACGCCAGAGUUGGAAUUAUUCGAGAUCGAAUAUUCACUGGCGCCAGAGUCAGGAAUAUUAUAAACAAAUCAUCAUAGCAUAAGCGAAUAAAUGUUUAGCAAUUUAGGACAAAACCAGCAAUGCAAUCUGCCUUAGGCAGAACGUUUAAGGGGUGAUAAUAUCUUCCCUUUUACGUAACCAGUCCCGUACCAUAGAAUCUCUAUUGACCAGUUAGGGUUCCUAGUGACCAUAAUACUAGGUGGCGACUCCUUAAACAAGACUGUUCUUUUUCCAUAUUCGAGAGUUUAUUUUUAAGGCCGCCGCGAUGUCGGGUGCGACACUGCCCUCUCUCUAUCUCUCGCUCGCUAUCUGUAAGCAAUCCCCCUCUCUUUAUUGCUUUUGUUAUUAUUGUUGUAGAUCUUGAUCUGGAUUCGGACGGGAUUAGUCUUGUUUUGGUUCUAUAGUUUGUCUUUUUUAAUUCUCUAGAUCUGACCCUUGUUAGAUUUGAUCUGUUUUUGGUAAGUUUUUCAAUGACCCUUUUGUUUGUUUUGUUUGCUGGUAUUGACAUUAAGAAGAUUAUGAAUCUAUAAAUUUGGCAAGAAGAUCCACCUUCUUCAACAGCAUUCCUGAUCGUUUCUUUUAGCUUCUUUGUUCUGCUCCUCAUUUCCUCUGCUUCUCUACAGCUUCACUUUUAACAUGAUCUUCAUGCACUGUAAGUCAUUCCUUAACUCCAACACCAACUCCAGUUUUUAAAACAUCGGUCAUCAUCUUUUCAUUAUGGAAUUGCUCAGCAAAACAUCGGUCACCAUCCUCAAUGAGUCACAAAUGCACCUAUUGCUUCAUGAUCAAGAAUCAAAACUUGGAGUGCCCAUCCUCUAAUAAUUAGGCCUUUGCCUUCCAUUCUUCCCUCAAAUCCUUCAGGUAAACAAUCUUCCUUGUCUUCUUGACCCUUUUUGCUUCUUCUAACUACCCAGAUAAAUUGAUGCCCAGAAGCUUCGAGACCUGCUGCAAUCUCCUUAAGCUGAGAGGCAGUGAAGUUCGCCAUGCUUCCAAAGCAAAUAUAAACAACUGAAUUUGGUUUCUUUGAGUCGAGUCACUUCAACUGAAUUUGCCAUGUUGAGCAAUUGAGGCUUCUUUUUCUCUUCCUGCUUUAUCUUCAUUGUCUCUAUUGGAUAGUGAAACCUGUUAAUUAUUGGAGACAAGCAAGCCCCACCAUGUGCAAGUGGGAUUACCUAAUCUCCCACUUAGCACAUGGUGGAGGACUCCCCCUCACUCCCAUUAAUUGUAUAUUAAUGUACCCCUCCUGUGAUGUGUUUGUGUGCGUAUGAAGAACACAGAGAGCAGCGUGAGAAACACAGAGAGAAGAGAGAACAGAGAAGAAUAGAGAGAGCUUGAGAGAGUAGAGUUGAGUUGAGAGAGUUUUAUCUCCUCCUCCUUUGUUUGUAUUGUUUGUAAGCUUCAUUAAUACAAACCAGUAGCUCCGUGGAGUAGGCAAGUUGCCGAACCACGUAAAUUGUGUGUGUUUGAGUUCUGGAAAUAUCCCAACAACUGGUAUCAGAGCUUGUUCUUGACAAAGAGGGUGUUUGAUCCAAACUCAAAAAUCAAAGUUCUCCAAACGUGUUUUUAAACAUACCAUCGUGUAGAGGACAACCGGAAGAAUCCACUGUUGCAAACCCGGCGAAGAACCGACGUUCUGCAUGCCCGCACGCGCCAACACGCGCCGACGCCCAGACUGCCCACGCGCACCAACGCGCCGUACGCGCGCCACGCUCCAUCUUCGCCCGGCUUCUGCAAAACGGGUCGGGCUGACCCGCCACGUCAGCACAGACGUACGGUCACGUCCGCGUCACCUGCCACGUCACCUGCCACGUCAUCGCUGAGUUUUGUUCCGAUGUGUCGCAGAAGCUGAUAUUCUGACAUGUGGCUACAUCAUAACCGUUGAGGGGUUUUGAUCCAGUACGACGCAGGAUCCAAUCAGUUGACACGUGGUUAAAUCAAGACCACUAUUGAGUAUUGAUCCAGUGUGACUCAGGCCAUCAUCUGCUGACACGUGGCUUCAUCAUAACCGUUACUGAGUUUUGAUACGGUGUGACGCAGGACCUAAUCUGCUGACACGUGGCUUCAUCAGAACCGCUACUUAGGUUUUGAUCCGGUGCGACGCAGGCGGUACUCUGGUUGACACGCGGCUGCAUCUGCACCGUCCGUUAAUUCAAAACUUUGAUUGCUAAAAUCUGAGCCAUCCGAAGUCCGAUUGGGGUGAUCUCAGUGUCAUUUCCAAGGUUUUCGGCUGUUCCGGACACAUCUGUAAGGUCAGAUUUGAGAAAUUCGAAUCGGAGAAGUAGUAAAAAUGGCAGAUGAAAUAAAAGCAGCUGGAAUUGAAAAAUUUGACGGGACAGAUUUUGGAUACUGGAAAAUGCAAAUUGAGGAUUAUCUAUAUGGGAAGAAACUUCAUCUUCCCUUGUUGGGGAGCAAACCAGAAAAUAUGCAAGAAGAAGAUUGGCUACUUCUUGAUAGACAAGUUCUGGGCAUUGUCCGGUUAUCCUUAUCAAGAAGAGUUGCUCACAAUGUUACGAAAGAAAGAUCCACUGCAAGAUUGAUGGAAGCCUUGUCUGGGAUGUAUGAGAAGCCAUCAGCAAAUAAUAAAGUGCACCUGAUGAAAAAGUUGUUCAACUUGAAGAUGGUCGAAAACACUUCUGUGACACAACACCUCAAUAACUUUAAUACCAUCACAAAUCAAUUAUCAUCUGUUGAGAUUGAGUUUGAUGAUGAGAUUCGUGCACUCAUUUUGCUAGCUUCACUUCCAAGCAGUUGGGAAGGCAUGAGGACAGCCGUGAGCAAUUCAGCUGGAAAAUCCAAACUGAAGUAUGAUGACAUUCGAGACUUGAUUUUGGCUGAAGAAGUGCGAAGGAAAGACUCGGGUGAAAGUUCAAGCUCAGGAUCAGCUCUCAACAUCAACACUCGAGGGAGGAGACAUGAUAGAGGCUUAUCCAGAGGCAGAUCAAAAUCAAGAUGUAGAAGUAAAAGCAAGUUUGGACCCAGAAAGCAGGUUGAAUGUUGGAAUUGUGGCAAACCUGGUCAUUUCAUGAGGAAUUGCACAAAACCGAAAAAACCUGAAGCUGACUCUGCAAACGCUACCACAAAUGAGGUGCAAGAUGCUUUGAUUCUUGCUGUGCAUAGUCCUGUUGAUGAUUGGGUUCUUGAUUCUGGUGCUUCAUUUCACUGUACACCACACCAUGAAAUGAUGCAAAACUAUAUUGCUGGAGAUCACGGUGUAGUCUAUCUGGCCGAUGGACAACCAUUGGAUAUUGUGGGUUUAGGAGAUGUACAAAUCAAGACAAUGAAUGGAUCUAUAUGGAACUUGCAAAAUGUAAGGCAUGUUCCUGAUCUAAAGAAGAAGCUGAUCUCGGUCGGACAACUUGAUGAUAGUGGUCAUUCAAUCCUUUUUUCUGGAGGUAUGUGGAAGGUAUCAAAGGGAGCAAUGGUUUUGGCUCGUGGAAAGAAAACCGGCACCCUGUAUAUGACCACAAGAUUUGCAGACAUUAUUGCCUCUACUGAAGCAGAAAAUCAAGCACAUCUAUGGCACUGUAGACUCGGCCAUAUGAGUCAAAAGGGGAUGAAGAUACUUCAGUCGAAGGGAAAGCUGGCAGAAUUAAAAAAUGUCGAUCUAGACAUUUGUGAAAGCUGUGUUCUUGGAAAACAGAAAAAGCUCAGUUUCUUGAAGGUUGGCAGGACCUUAAGACCAAGAAAGCUAGAGCUGGUACACACAGAUUUAUGGGGACCGUCUCCAGUAGCAUCUCUUGGAGGUUCUCGGUAUUACGUGACUUUCAUUGAUGAUUUCAGCAGGAAGGUAUGGGUUUACUUUCUGAAAAAUAAAUCUGAUGUGUUUGAAACAUUCAAGAAGUGGAAGGCUAUGGUUGAGACUGAAUCAGGUCUGAAGUUGAAAUGCUUGAGAUCCGAUAACGGAGGAGAAUACAUUGAUGGAGGUUUCAAAGAGUAUUGUGCUGUUAAUGGUAUCAGAAUGGAAAAGACCGUUCCAGGCACACCGCAACAGAAUGGCAUUGCUGAACGAAUGAACCGGACCAUCAAUGAACGAGCUAGAAGCAUGAGGUUGCAUUCAGGGCUACCUCAAACAUUCUGGGCUGAUGCAGUUCAUACUGCAGUUUACUUGAUCAACCGUGGACCAUCAGUUCCUUUGGAGUUCAGAUUGCCCGAGGAAGUAUGGAGAGGAAAAGAGGUACAACUCUCUCAUUUAAAGGUCUUUAGGUGUGUUUCCUAUGUUCAUAUAGAUUCUAAUGCUCGCAACAAGUUGGAUGCCAAAUCCAAGAAAUGUUUCUUCAUCGGCUAUGGAGAUGAAGAAUUUGGCUUUCGGUUCUGGGAUGAUCAGAAUAGAAAGAUUAUCAGAAGCAGGAACGUGAUCUUCAAUGAGAAAGUUCUGUACAAAGACAGAUCAAGUGCAGAAACAGAUAAGGCUGAUUCAGAUACAAGGCCACAAGGAUCUGAAUUCAUAAGAUUAGAAGGCCUUCCCGAUGUUACUGAGCAGAACAACAAUCAAGAGCCUUUACAAGAAGACUCAAGCAUAUCUGUACCCGCUACUACACAAGAAGAAGCGGAGCAAAUUGAACCAGCUGUUCGCAGGUCUUCGAGGACGAUAAAGCCCCCGCAACGGUUCACACUUUUACUGAAUUACAUUUUGUUGACAGAUGGUGGUGAACCGCUAACUUAUGAAGAAUCCUUACAAGAUGGAAACUCAAGCAAGUGGGAGUUAGCCAUGAAGGAUGAGAUGAGUUCGUUGCUGAAGAACAAGACUUGGGAGCUAACCACACUGCCUGAAGGAAAGAAGGCUUUACAAAACAAGUGGGUUUACAGAGUGAAGACUGAGCAUGACGGAAGUAAACGGUUCAAGGCAAGACUUGUUGUCAAAGGGUUUCAACAAAAGAAAGGCAUUGACUACUCUGAGAUAUUUUCUCCAGUUGUGAAGCUCACAACAAUCAGAGUUGUUCUGGGGAUAGUAGCUGCAGAAAAUUUACAUCUUGAACAGUUAGAUGUAAAAACAGCAUUCCUUCAUGGUGACUUGGAGGAAGAUAUUUACAUGCAACAGCCAGAGGGGUUUGCAAUGCAAGGAAAGGAGAAUCAAGUCUGCAAGCUACAGAAAAGCCUAUACGGUUUGAAGCAAGCUCCAAGACAGUGGUACAAGAAGUUUGACAACUUCAUGUGUAGUUCGGGAUACACAAGAUGCCAGGCUGAUCAUUGUUGCUAUGUCAAACAUUUUGACAACUCCUACAUCAUUCUACUAUUAUAUGUAGAUGAUAUGUUGAUUGCAGGAUCCAGCAUUGAGGAGAUUGAUAAGCUGAAACAGCAGUUGUCAAAACAGUUUGAAAUGAAGGAUCUGGGAGCUGCUAAACAAAUACUUGGCAUGAGAAUCUUCAGAGAUAAAGACAAAGGCGUACUAAAGCUUUCACAAACAGAGUAUGUCAAGAAGGUUCUCAGCAGGUUUAGUAUGGAUAAUACUAAACCAGUAAGUACACCACUGGGGAAUCAUUUCAAGCUCAGCAAAGAUCAGUCACCAAAAACUGAGCUAGAAAGUGGAUACAUGGAUAAGAUUCCAUACGCCUCAGCUAUCGGCUCUUUGAUGUAUGCUAUGGUCUGUACCAGACCAGACAUUGCCCAUGCAGUGGGAGUUGUAAGCCGAUAUAUGAGCAAUCCUGGAAAGCAGCAUUGGGAGGCGGUCAAAUGGAUCAUGAGGUACUUAAAAGGUUCCUCGGAAACUUGUCUCAGUUUCACAGCUGGUGGUUUGAAACUUGAAGGUUUUGUAGAUGCUGAUCUAGCAGGAGAUGUUGAUAGCCGAAAGAGCACUACAGGAUAUGUAUAUACUCUAGGAGGGACUGCUGUUUCCUGGAGUUCUACCUUGCAAAAGAUCGUCGCUCUUUCAACAACAGAAGCUGAAUAUGUUGCAGUCUCAGAAUCUGCAAAAGAGAUCGUAUGGCUGCAGAGUUUCCUGAAAGAAUUGGGCAAGAUGAAUGGAAAGGGUACUUUGUAUAGCGAUAGUCAGAGUGCAAUCUUCCUUGCCAAGAAUCCAGCAUUUCACUCCAGGACGAAGCAUAUUCAGAUCAAAUAUCACUUCAUCCGACAACUGCUGGACGACGAGCAACUAAUGCUAGAAAAGGUCUGUGGAAGCAAGAAUCCAGCUGACAUGUUAACCAAAGGAGUUACACUUGAUAAACUGAAGUUGUGCAAAACUUCAGUUGGCCUUCAAGGAUAAAAGAUAAUUUCAUUGUUUGUCUCCAAGUGGGAGAUUGUUAAUUAUUGGAGACAAGCAAGCCCCACCAUGUGCAAGUGGGAUUACCUAAUCUCCCACUUAGCACAUGGUGGAGGACUCCCCCUCACUCCCAUUAAUUGUAUAUUAAUGUACCCCUCCUGUGAUGUGUUUGUGUGCGUAUGAAGAACACAGAGAGCAGCGUGAGAAACACAGAGAGAAGAGAGAACAGAGAAGAAUAGAGAGAGCUUGAGAGAGUAGAGUUGAGUUGAGAGAGUUUUAUCUCCUCCUCCUUUGUUUGUAUUGUUUGUAAGCUUCAUUAAUACAAACCAGUAGCUCCGUGGAGUAGGCAAGUUGCCGAACCACGUAAAUUGUGUGUGUUUGAGUUCUGGAAAUAUCCCAACAACUAGGCCCACGUUAAUUCACACCCUCUUUAAUUGACCCAACAAGACAAUGUCCUAACCAUACAGGUUCCUCUUCUACAGAUUCUGGAAAAAGAUUGUCUUGGGAACUUACAGUAGAUUUCGUUGGAACUCUUCUCUCAGGACGUAGCAUAGCUUCUUGAAUCUCUGUUUCUAAUCGGAACAGGGUAGCAACGAGAAGCUUGGAGUGGUCGCAGAAUGCCUUUCUUUUGUUCAUGAGGCUGCCUGUCGAAACGCUGAAGAUUUGCCAGCACCUUGUAGGAAUCAAAUCAAAGCCCCUUUUAAAAAUUUAAUGACCAAAAGGAAGAAAAUAAAAAAAAUCUGCCUUGUGUUUAAAAAAACACCUCCCUUCUGUUUCCUCAACAUGUUAGUUCAUAUUUUUGGUUGCAAAUCUUGUACCCCUAGCGAUCUCUCUUCUUUUUUAAUUCCUGUGUGCUAUUGUUUUAGAUCUGAGGUGUAAAUUGACUCCAACAGAGGAUACACUCUAUACCCAAUCUAUGUAAUAUAAUGAAAAUACAUAAUAUUUCUUCUUACAUGCCAAAAAAAUAUUUAUUUUCAGUACACUACUCAUCUACUAUUUCUUUAGUUUUCUUCUUGGGCAUAAUCACCAAGCCUGUAUGCAUGUACAAUCUAGAACAAAAUGGAAUUACAUUGCAGGACUUUGGUUUCUUAGAUCAAUUUUCUUCGGAGUUCACAGCUAUAACAAUAAGCUACCAAAGACAAACAUGUUCUUGAAAAAUUUGGUAAACAAACUUAAAUCAUCUGUAACAUUUACAGACUCUGAUGACUGAUCGGUGAAACUUCAUUUUUUUUAAUCUGUUUGUUGAGCAAGUUCAAGCAAGCACUAGGAUAACUUACUGGUGAAAAAUAUUAAUCUACAAUUUACACUUACUGAUAACAUGCAUGUAGAUAUCUUAUUGGUUGGGUUUUACAAUUUACACUUUCUAAUUUAUAAAACCAGGAGUAAAUCACAUGUAUCAGAGGUUUAGGUAGCUUCCUGCCCAUGUGAAAACACAAGAAUGUUAUCCUAUUGCAAUAUGACAUGUCUUGUUGGACACAUGCCAAGCACAUUAUCACAUGAACAAUGAAUCAGCAGAAGGAAUUUUUAGUUAGGUAUUAGUCUUAAGAUUUAAAAUUAAAAAAAAAAUCAACAUUUUUUAAAUACCAUAUCAGCCCCCUAACUUAUAAAAAUGACAAAUGAUACCACUGGCUAUCCCAUGCUAUAGCUGGCUAUAUGUGAGGCCUUAAUUUGCCUAGGGCCAUAUGGUCCACAUAAUAAUUUUCUUAAAUAAAAAAAAUGUUAUCUUUCAUGCACAAUGAAUCAGUAGAAGGAAUUGUUAAUUAAGCUUGGAACCCUGUAGCAAACAUCUGAGAUAGAAACUGCAUCAAGCGUUUUUGUUUUUUCUUUCUUCAAAUUUUUGGCGAGAGAAAAGAUAUCAGGAUUGGUGAUUCUGGAGCAAGAAGCCAUGGCCAUGAUCGCAGUGCAGGUGGUGCUCGAGAAACUGGCUUCCUUUGUAGCAGAAGAAACACGGUUCUUGGGAGGAGUUAGAGGGGGAAUCGUUGAACUACAGGAUGAUUUGUAUAGCAUGAAAUCUUUCCUUCAGGAUGCGGAAGAAAGGAGUGAGAGAUGUGGCUUAUGAUGCUGAGGACAUUCUUGAAGAGUUCGUGCUCCGGUUUGCUCCAUCUCACGGGAGUGGUUUUAUCCAUUAUCUUCGCAAUUCAUAUCGUUCCAUCCGUAAAUUAAGUGCACGGCACCGGCUGGCAGUCCAGGUACAAAGCAUUAAAGCAAGGGUAAAAGCCAUUUCUGAGAGAAGAAAUGCAUUUUCUUUGAAUAGGAUAGACAUGCCAUCAACCUCCAGUGCUACCGUAGAGAAAUGGCAUGAUCCCCGGUUAGCUGCUCUUUACUUAGAUGAAGCUGAUGUCGUGGGAAUUGAGAACCCAAAACAUCUACUGGUUUCGUGGCUUGUAGAAGGAGAAGAAAAGCUCUCAACAUUCAUCAAGACAAUAGAGAGGCACCGUGGUGAAGAUUUCUGGAGAGUUCAACAUAUCACAACAAUCACCCGUAUCUACGAGAGCCAGGGGAGACGGGUCUCUGAAACUCUUCUGUAAUUAGAGGGGUUAACUACGGAGAGGAAACAGUUUCCGGAAAAUUAUUAUCUCUGUCAAGUUCCUCAGGUCUGCACAGACGUUUCAUCAUGUAAUGCUGAGCCUCAGAAAACAGAAAACUGCUGCUCUUCCCUCCUCUUCUCUGCUCCUUUAUCUCUGUUUUGCUGUUGUUGAAUCUUCCUACCUGCUAUCUUGCCCAUGUUUGUCACCAGUAAAUUCUUGACACCGUCAAUUUCUAGAGAUCAAUACGAGUAUAUUUGAGACGUGUCAAAUGUUUAUUUUAUAUUUUAUCAAAUUUUCACAACUUGAGUUCGUUUUGCAA
This 24409-nucleotide long non-coding RNA is filed under the name Populus trichocarpa (black cottonwood). RNAcentral's name for it is "long non-coding RNA (PTRI_LNC004607)". Lineage: Eukaryota; Viridiplantae; Streptophyta; Magnoliopsida; Malpighiales; Salicaceae. The record is from RNAcentral.